RNAcentral lists this long non-coding RNA (3523 nucleotides) under Medicago truncatula (barrel medic). Its description in RNAcentral is "long non-coding RNA (MTRU_LNC004708)". The record is from RNAcentral. Lineage: Eukaryota; Viridiplantae; Streptophyta; Magnoliopsida; Fabales; Fabaceae.
ACAUCCUCACCCUCCAUUUUAUCUAAAUUUAAUGGACUAGAUUUAAUACUUAUUAAUAAUCAUGUGACCUCAUUCACCUUUUUUUUUUGAACAAGCUAAAAUGAGAUAUAUUAAUAAAGAGUUUUGUUCCCUAGCACAAGGAGUGCCAAAGGAGACAAAACAAAGUUACAAAAUAGUUCCAAUCAAACCACAAAAGAUAUGAACGAAAAAUACAUCAUACAUCAGCCAAUCCCUAAACAAGCAAGGGGACGCUGCCGCCAUAAAUGAUAACCAAAAGGAAAGCACACAUUUUUUGCUUUCAACCAUUUGAGAGAUGUAAUCUUAACCUUCUCAAGAAGUUGCUCUGUUGUAUUAGCUGUGUUGACAAACAAUCUAUUAUUUCUUUCAUUCCAAAGAACCCAAAUACCACAAAGCCAAAUCAAAUGAAGAAAAGACCUUCUUGGAGCAUAAUCACCUGAAGAAUAAACAAACUGAUAAUAAUGGUCCAAAACCUGAUGAGGAUCCACAAAAAACACACCGAUCCAAGUUUUAAUUUGCUGCCAGAGAGCUCCAAAAAUAGGACAAUGAAUAAUUAAGAGGUCUAUUGUUUCAUUUUGUCCACAACCUGUAACACAAAAUUGAGUAUCAUAAGAAAUAACACCUCGUCGCACCAAGUUAUCCUUUGUUGGCCAUCUAUUGCGGAGAAGACGCCACGCCCAAAUAGAGACUUUCAGAGGAGCACUCUUAUGCCACGGAGCAUCCGAAACAACGUCAUAAUUGUGCCUCUCCUGCCGCAUGAGCAUUUGAUACACACCACGAACAGUGUACCCAUCACCAAUGUUGGGCCGCCAAAGCCAAACAUCUGAUUCAGUAUCCUGCAAAGUAACAUUAGUAAGUAAAAUCCUAAUCUCCACUACCAACUCCUCCUCCCAAGCUAACAAACGUCGCCUCCACCUCCAAGCCUCUCCAUUUUCACCCCAACCUAAAAUGUUCAUCUCUCCCACUGACAGGUCCUUAUGAAUCGAUAAGUCAUACAACCUUCGAAAUCUCACCAUGAACGACUCUGUCCCUAACCAACAAUCCGACCAAAAGAAAGUAUUGAAGCCAUUGCCUAAACGUUUUGAGAUACUUUCUUCGAACCAACUACCACCUUCCACACCUACUCCAUUUUGAAUUUUAAUUAUCUCCCUCCACCAAGCUGAACCUGUCAUGCCCCCCUCCUUCAACCGACCACCUUGCUCCCCAUAUCGAGAGGACAGCACCCUAAACCAUAAACCCUCCCUAUCCACUAGACACCUCCAACACCAUUUACCAAGAAGAGCAACAUUAAACUCAAGUAAUCUCCUUACCCCCAAUCCACCAGCCUCCUUAUUCAUGCAAAUAGUAUUCCAGUCUACCCAGGCAAUUUUUCUAUGAUCCUCACUCCCACCCCAAAAAAAUUUAAUUAAAAUAGAUUCAAUGGAAGAGAUUAUACCUGCGGGAGCUCUGAAAAAAGAAAGGGCGUAGACAGGCAGCGAAGACAGGACAGACUUAAGGAGAAUCAAGCGACCACCGUAAGAUAAAUUUCUACUUUUCCAUUCCGACAAUCUAGAUCUUAAACGCUCUAAAACCGGAUCCCAAAAACAGAGACGUCUAGCAUCACCACCAAUGGGCAGCCCCAAAUACAUAAAUGGAGUUUUACCAAGUUUACAAGACAAAAUAGAAGCGGCUUCCUGUAACCAAGAUUCAGCAAUGUUAAUACCAACCAACAGGCUCUUAUUGUAGUUUACCUUCAAGCCAGACAUAUUCUCAAAAAUCACAAGGAUUGACCGCAAGGCACGAACAUUCGCCCAACUCUUGACACCUAGUAAAAGUGUGUCAUCAGCGAAUUGCAAGUGGGAAAGCACAGUGGGGGAAUGCAUUCCUAUAGAGUAACCAGUAAAAAGGUUUGAGUUUACUGCUGAAGUCAUUAGAACAUUCAAACCUUCAGCUGCUAGAAGAAAAAGAAAAGGCGAGAGAGGAUCGCCUUGACGCAGUCCCCGUUGCAUAUAAAACUCGUCAGUAGGGCUACCAUUAACCAGAACAGAAACAGUUGCAGUACUGACACAUUCCUUCAUCCACUUACGCCACAAAGUUGGAAACCCCAUUUUUCCCAUAACAUCAUCAAGAUAAUUCCAAUCAACAGUUUCCUGGUUAUCAUCAGUUUGCAAGCUUCUUUCUCUAAAAAAUCAAAUUGAUGUUUUGGAGGCUAGGGGUGAAGUGGAUGACUUGUCCGAGGAGGAUAUCAUGGACUUACAUGAGAUGUCAACUGAUUUACACUCUUUAUCCAGGGCAAACGCAAGUAUUUCAUGGCAACAAUCGAGAUUACUAUGUCUUCGGGAAGGAGAUGCAAACUCUAAAUAUUUUCAUGCCAUUAUGUCCGGCAGACGUAGAAGAAACACCAUCUCAUCUAUUUUAGUUGAUGGAAAUGUUGUGGAGGGAGUUUCCGAAGUUCGGGCAGCAGUUUUCAGUCACUUCCAACACCAUUAUCAGGCGCAUGUCAUGAAUAGGCCUAGGGUGGAUGAUUUGCUUUUUAAAAGAUUAUCUGUUGCGGAAGAAAAUUCCCUUAUUUACCCGUUUACUGAGACUGAAGUUAAGGCUGCGGUGUGGGAUUGUGAUGGUUACAAGAGUCCGGGUCCGGAUGGCAUUCCUUUGGGAUUUAUUAAGGAAUUUUGGCUGGAUUUGAAAGGUGACAUUAUGCGGUUUGUGCUGGAAUUUCAUCGCAACGGUCGCCUCUCAAAAGGAAUAAAUAGCACCUUUAUCGCUCUUAUUCCAAAGAUUGAUUGUGCGCAUCGUCUUAAUGAUUUUCGCCCCAUUGCUCUAGUGGGCUGUUUAUACAAAAUUUUGGCGAAGUUGCUAGCAAACCGUUUGCGUCAGGUAAUGGGAACGGUAAUCUCGGAUACUCAGUCAGCGUUUGUAAAAGAUCGCCAAAUUCUUGAUGGUAUUCUAGUAGCUAAUGAGGUGGUGGAUGAGGCCCGCAAGUUGAAAAAAGAAUUAUUAUUGUUUAAAGUGGAUUCUCAUUCACCUUAACAAAUCUCACAUAAUUAAAUACCGUUUUUUCUUUUGACUCAAUCAAUAUUUACCUUUUAUAAACACAAUUAACUAUUAGUAAAUUUGUAAAGAAAAUCUAAUUCUUAAUUACUCUUUACAAAUUCAUCUCCUCUGCAAUAUUUUCAUAAACAAUAUCAAAAGAAGCUUCUCGACAACUAUUUCACGGUUCACAAUCCAAAGGCCAAACUACAUAUAUUUUCCCUAAUACCUAUUAUUAAUGUGAUUUUUAGAAUGAGUCAAUGAGCUUAUGGGCUUCCAUAGAUGUAUUUCUUUUUAUUAUCCACGCACACAUUCUAGAAAUGAUUAUUAUUGUGGAUUUUAUUCUUUUUGAGGAUUGAUCCAUCGAUCGGUGGACUUAUUUGUUUCUAAUGCUAGUUGUGAAUUAAAUUUGACCAUGCCUAUGAAUUUGAGUUAGACAUGUUUUUUUUAUCUAUUUCUUUCGUGGAGAUGAAAAGCUAUAAAUUAAAUUUUUUAA